This 115-nucleotide small RNA is filed under the name Listeria welshimeri. RNAcentral's name for it is "Listeria sRNA rli31". It matches the Rfam family "Listeria sRNA rli31". RNAcentral also lists the same sequence under 1 other name. Lineage: Bacteria; Bacillati; Bacillota; Bacilli; Caryophanales; Listeriaceae. The record is from RNAcentral.
UAGAGAUUGUUAUUUGAAAUAAGUUGGUUAAAAAUAAAUCACUUCCCCCAUAGAAAUAUUUUUAAUCACUUAAGACGAAUAAACACUCCUUAAAUAUAGUUGUAGCACAGAAUUU